Non-coding RNA from Pelobates cultripes (western spadefoot toad), 936 nucleotides. The record is from the annotation of a GenBank genome assembly. Lineage: Eukaryota; Metazoa; Chordata; Amphibia; Anura; Pelobatidae.
CAAUAUCUGCUUUAGAGGGGCAGACUGUCUGUGGGUCAUCUUUCAGAUUAUAUAAUUUUUCAUAAUAAUGGGCGAAUUCGUCCACUAUCCCCUGUGGGUUUAAAAUUAAGGUUCCCCCGGAACCCUUGAUGGAGGCAAUUUUGGAGUUAGCCGUCCUCUGUUUCAAUUGGGCAGCCAGCCGCGCUCCCGCUUUGUUGCCUGUAGCAAAAAAGCUGUGUUUAAACUUGCGCAUGAGGGAUGUGGUUUUGGCCAGUUCCAAAUCUCUGAGCUGCGAUUGUAAGCGCAAUAAUUUGGUAUGUGUGGCUGCUGUGGGGGUGUGUUUGUUGGUGUGAGUUAGGGAGGUUAGUUCAGAAAGUAUGGCUGUGUAAGAUUCUAGUCGCUUUUUUUUUGCGUAGCUGGCGUGCUUGAUGAAGCUGCCUCUUAUGAAAGCUUUGUGCGCCAUCCAUAUUUGGGGUAGAGGUGAGUCUGGGGUUUUGUUUUCUUUAAAAUAAAACUGUAGAUCUUGUUCUAUUUGGUUAACUAUGGCAGGGUCAGCGAGUAAUUGUUCAUUGAGUCUCCAACUGCCUCUUCCUGAGUUGGGGAAUUGUUCCCUAAGUUGUAGUGUAAUAGGGGCAUGGUCUGACCAUGUAAUAAGGCCUAUGUCUGUGCGCUCAACCUUUAUGAUGGAGGAGGUGCGGAUCAAAAACCUAUCUAUUCUCGAAUAAGUCUUAUGCGCUGCUGUGUGGCAUGUGUAGUCCCUCUCUGUGGGAUGGGUGACUCUCCAUGGGUCUACAAGAUUGUGCGGUGUUAGUUUGUUGCAUAUUAGUGUGGCUAGUUUGGACCUGCUCUUUAGUGUUUGUGCAGUCAAUUGGGGACCUCCUGAUGAGUCUAGGUCACUGUCUAGUAAGAAAUUCGUGUCACCCCCAAUGAUCACUUCCCCAAGUGCGUGAGCAGACA